CGCUGGCGGCGUGCCUAAUACAUGCAAGUCGAACGGUCUUUCUAUGGAAGCUUGCUUCCACUGAGAAGAUAGUGGCGAACGGGUGAGUAACACGUGGGUAACCUGCCCAUAAGAGGGGGAUAACAUCCGGAAACGGGUGCUAAUACCGCAUAGUUUUCUUGAUCGCAUGAUCGGGAAAGGAAAGACGGCCUUUGUGCUGUCGCUUAUGGAUGGACCCGCGGCGUAUUAGUUAGUUGGUGAGGUAAUGGCUCACCAAGACGAUGAUACGUAGCCGACCUGAGAGGGUGAUCGGCCACAUUGGGACUGAGACACGGCCCAAACUCCUACGGGAGGCAGCAGUAGGGAAUCUUCCGCAAUGGACGAAAGUCUGACGGAGCAACGCCGCGUGAGUGAAGAAGGUUUUCGGAAUCGUAAAACUCUGUUGUCAGAGAAGAACAAGUUGGAGAGUAACUGCUCCAGCCUUGACGGUAUCUGACCAGAAAGCCACGGCUAACUACGUGCCAGCAGCAGC
This 511-nucleotide ribosomal RNA is filed under the name uncultured bacterium. Its description in RNAcentral is "bacterial SSU rRNA". It matches the Rfam family "Bacterial small subunit ribosomal RNA", at positions 34 to 518 of the family's 1533-position model. The record is from RNAcentral.